GCAAACUUGGUCAUUUAGAGGAAGUAAAAGUCGUAACAAGGUUUCCGUAGGUGAACCUGCGGAAGGAUCAUUACCGAGUGCGCCCUCCGUAAAAAAGAGGGUACCUCCCGUCCUUUGCUGGCCUUUCGGGGCUUUUUUAAUUUCUGCUUCGGCGGGGUUACCCGCCGGAACACCUUUAAAACUCUUUGACAAAUCGUUCCGUCCGAGGGCUUUUUGCGAAUAAAAAAAACUUUCAACAACGGAUCUCUUGGUUCUGGCAUCGAUGAAGAACGCAGC
This 276-nucleotide unclassified non-coding RNA is filed under the name uncultured fungus. RNAcentral's name for it is "partial contains small subunit ribosomal RNA, internal transcribed spacer 1, and 5.8S ribosomal RNA". The stretch from base 1 to 73 matches the Rfam family "Eukaryotic small subunit ribosomal RNA", at positions 1759 to 1831 of the family's 1831-position model. Lineage: Eukaryota; Fungi. The record is from RNAcentral.